Molecule: ribosomal RNA, 883 nt
Filed under: Bulbithecium arxii
Lineage: Eukaryota; Fungi; Ascomycota; Sordariomycetes; Hypocreales; Bionectriaceae
Description: eukaryotic LSU rRNA
Rfam family: Eukaryotic large subunit ribosomal RNA
Source: RNAcentral
CUCAAGGUUGACCUCGGAUCAGGUAGGAAUACCCGCUGAACUUAAGCAUAUCAAUAAGCGGAGGAAAAGAAACCAACAGGGAUUGCCCCAGUAACGGCGAGUGAAGCGGCAACAGCUCAAAUUUGAAAUCUGGCCCCAGGCCCGAGUUGUAAUUUGCAGAGGAUGCUUCUGGCGACGUGCCUUCCGAGUUCCCUGGAACGGGACGCCAUAGAGGGUGAGAGCCCCGUCCGGUCGUGCACCUAGCCUCUGUGAAGCUCCUUCGACGAGUCGAGUAGUUUGGGAAUGCUGCUCUAAAUGGGAGGUAUACGUCUUCUAAAGCUAAAUACCGGCCAGAGACCGAUAGCGCACAAGUAGAGUGAUCGAAAGAUGAAAAGCACUUUGAAAAGAGGGUUAAAUAGUACGUGAAAUUGCUGAAAGGGAAGCGCUUAUGACCAGACUUGGGCCGGUGAAUCAUCCGUCGUUCUCGGCGGUGCACUUUGCCGGCUCAGGCCAGCAUCAGUUCGCCUCGGGGGAUAAAGGCUUCGGGAAAGUAGCUCCUUCGGGAGUGUUAUAGACCGUUGCGUAAUACCCUGGGGCGGACUGAGGUACGCGUUCUGCAAGGAUGCUGGCGUAAUGGUCAUCAGUGACCCGUCUUGAAACACGGACCAAGGAGUCGUCUUCGUAUGCGAGUGUUCGGGUGUAAAACCCCUACGCGUAAUGAAAGUGAACGUAGGAGAGAGCUUCGGCGCAUCUCCGACCGAUCCUGAUGUUCUCGGAUGGAUUUGAGUAAGAGCAUACGGGGCCGGACCCGAAAGAAGGUGAACUAUGCCUGUAUAGGGUGAAGCCAGGGGAAACUCUGGUGGAGGCUCGCAGCGGUUCUGACGUGCAAAUCGAUCGUCAAAUA